AUUGAACGCUGGCGGCAGGCCUAACACAUGCAAGUCGAACGAGUGGCGGACGGGUGCGUAAUGUCUGGGAAACUGCCUGAUGGCGGGGGAUAACUACUGGAAACGGUAGCUAAUACCGCAUACAAUCAGAUGAGCCCAGAUGGGAUUAGCUAGUAGGUGGGGUAAAGGCUCACCAAGGCGACGAUCCCUAGCUGGUCUGAGAGGAUGACCAGCCACAGUGGAACUGAGACACGGUACAGACUCCGACGGUGGGCAGCAGUGGGGAAUAUUGCACAAUGGGCGCAAGCCUGAUGCAGCCAUGCCGCGUGUAUGAAGAGGGCCUUGGGGUUGUAAAGUACUUUCAGCGGGGAGGCGUUACCCGCAGAAGAAGCACCGGCUAACUCCGUGCCAGCAGCCGCGGUAAUUC
Molecule: ribosomal RNA, 406 nt
Filed under: uncultured bacterium
Lineage: Bacteria
Description: partial 16S ribosomal RNA
Rfam family: Bacterial small subunit ribosomal RNA
Source: RNAcentral